Molecule: ribosomal RNA, 253 nt
Filed under: uncultured bacterium
Lineage: Bacteria
Description: partial 16S ribosomal RNA
Rfam family: Bacterial small subunit ribosomal RNA
Source: RNAcentral
UACGUAGGGGGCAAGCGUUGUCCGGAAUCAUUGGGCGUAAAGCGCGUGUAGGCGGUUACGUAAGUCUGCUGUGAAAGUCGGAGGCUCAACCUUCGAAAGCCGGUGGAUACUGCGUGACUAGAGUACGGAAGAGGAGAGUGGAAUUCCUGGUGUAGCGGUGAAAUGCGCAGAUAUCAGGAGGAACACCAACGGCGAAGGCAGCUCUCUGGGACGUUACUGACGCUGAGGAGCGAAAGCAUGGGGAGCGAACAGG